Macaca fascicularis (crab-eating macaque) is the source of this 104-nucleotide small nucleolar RNA. NCBI's taxonomy places the organism in Eukaryota, Metazoa, Chordata, Mammalia, Primates, Cercopithecidae. The record is from Ensembl.
AUCCUUUUGUAGUUCAUAGGUGUGAUAAUUGGGUGUUCACGUGCACGUGUGAGAUGUGCCACACUCCAGCCUUGUUACAACAUCAGCAUGUUACCCAUCUGACA